This 57-nucleotide transfer RNA is filed under the name Ictidomys tridecemlineatus (thirteen-lined ground squirrel). Its description in RNAcentral is "Spermophilus tridecemlineatus (thirteen-lined ground squirrel) tRNA". It matches the Rfam family "tRNA", at positions 8 to 63 of the family's 71-position model. Rfam says of the family: Transfer RNA (tRNA) molecules are approximately 80 nucleotides in length. Lineage: Eukaryota; Metazoa; Chordata; Mammalia; Rodentia; Sciuridae. The record is from Rfam by way of RNAcentral.
UAGCUCAGUGGUGGAGUACAUGCCUAGCAUGCUUGAAACCCUGGGUUUGAUCCCCAG